This 67-nucleotide transfer RNA is filed under the name Ornithodoros porcinus. RNAcentral describes it as "tRNA-Gln". The record is from RNAcentral. Lineage: Eukaryota; Metazoa; Arthropoda; Arachnida; Ixodida; Argasidae.
UAGUUUUUGGUGUACGGCACAUUAAAUUUUGAGUUUAAAGGAAAUGAAUCACUUUCAUUAAAAUUAA